RNAcentral lists this ribosomal RNA (253 nucleotides) under uncultured bacterium. RNAcentral describes it as "partial 16S ribosomal RNA". It matches the Rfam family "Bacterial small subunit ribosomal RNA", at positions 524 to 776 of the family's 1533-position model. The record is from RNAcentral.
UACGUAGGGUGCAAGCGUUGUCCGGAAUUAUUGGGCGUAAAGGGUGCGUAGGCGGUUUGGUAAGUCUUAUGUGAAAUCUACAGGCUCAACUUGUAGUCUGCAUGAGAAACUGCCGGGCUUGAGUAUGGGAGAGGUGAGUGGAAUUCCUGGUGUAGCGGUGAAAUGCGUAGAUAUCAGGAGGAACACCUGUGGCGAAAGCGGCUCACUGGACCAUAACUGACGCUGAUGCACGAAAGCUAGGGGAGCAAACAGG